This 305-nucleotide unclassified non-coding RNA is filed under the name uncultured fungus. Its description in RNAcentral is "partial contains small subunit ribosomal RNA, internal transcribed spacer 1, and 5.8S ribosomal RNA". The stretch from base 1 to 73 matches the Rfam family "Eukaryotic small subunit ribosomal RNA", at positions 1759 to 1831 of the family's 1831-position model. Lineage: Eukaryota; Fungi. The record is from RNAcentral.
CCAAACUUGGUCAUUUAGAGGAAGUAAAAGUCGUAACAAGGUCUCCGUUGGUGAACCAGCGGAGGGAUCAUUAGAGAGUAUAAAAACUCCCAACCCAUGUGAAUUUACCUACCGUUGCCUCGGCGGAGAGGGGGCUACCCGUAAAGGGCUACCCGGGUGUCGUUACCCGGGAGGUCUGGGUGACCCUCCCGCCGCCGCGGGCCCAUGAAACUCUGUUUUAUCUUGGAACUCUGAAUCAAAAAAACAAAUAAGUUAAAACUUUCAACAACGGAUCUCUUGGUUCUGGCAUCGAUGAAGAACGCAGC